GGACUACUCGGGUAUCUAAUCCUGUUCGCUCCCCACGCUUUCGCGCCUCAGUGUCAGUAAAGAGCCAGAAAGUCGCCUUCGCCACUGGUGUUCCUUCCGAUAUCUACGCAUUUCACCGCUACACCGGAAAUUCCACUUUCCUCUCUCUCACUCUAGAUAUUCAGUCUUAUAGGCCAUUCCUAGGUUGAGCCCAGGGAUUUCACCUAUAACUUAAUUACCCACCUACGCGCCCUUUACGCCCAGUAAUUCCGAUUAACGCUCGCACCCUCUGUAUUACCGCGGCUGCUGGCAC
Molecule: ribosomal RNA, 292 nt
Filed under: uncultured bacterium
Lineage: Bacteria
Description: partial 16S ribosomal RNA
Source: RNAcentral